Molecule: ribosomal RNA, 784 nt
Filed under: uncultured bacterium
Lineage: Bacteria
Description: bacterial SSU rRNA
Rfam family: Bacterial small subunit ribosomal RNA
Source: RNAcentral
AGAGUUUGAUCCUGGCUCAGGACGAACGCUGGCGGCGUGCUUAACACAUGCAAGUCGAGCGGUAAGGCCCUUUCGGGGGUACACGAGCGGCGAACGGGUGAGUAACACGUGAGUAAUCUGCCCUCCACUUGGGGAUAAGCUUCGGAAACAGGGUCUAAUACCUGAUACGACACAGUCUUGCAUGAGAUCUGUGUGGAAAGUUUUUUCGGUGGGGGAUGUGCUCGCGGCCUAUCAGCUUGUUGGUGGGGUAAUGGCCUACCAAGGCUUCGACGGGUAGCCGGCCUGAGAGGGUGACCGGCCACACUGGGACUGAGACACGGCCCAGACUCCUACGGGAGGCAGCAGUGGGGAAUAUUGGACAAUGGGCGGAAGCCUGAUCCAGCAACGCCGCGUGAGGGAUGACGGCCUUCGGGUUGUAAACCUCUUUCAGUACCGACGAAGCGCCCGUUGUGGGUGGUGACGGUAGGUACAGAAGAAGCACCGGCCAACUACGUGCCAGCAGCCGCGGUAAUACGUAGGGUGCGAGCGUUGUCCGGAAUUAUUGGGCGUAAAGGGCUCGUAGGCGGUUUGUCGCGUCGGGAGUGAAAACACCGGGCUUAACUCGGUGCUUGCUUUCGAUACGGGCAGACUAGAGGUAUGCAGGGGAGAACGGAAUUCCUGGUGUAGCGGUGAAAUGCGCAGAUAUCAGGAGGAACACCGGUGGCGAAGGCGGUUCUCUGGGCAUUACCUGACGCUGAGGAGCGAAAGUGUGGGGAGCGAACAGGAUUAGAUACCCUGGUAGUCC